RNAcentral lists this ribosomal RNA (775 nucleotides) under Afroraffaelea ambrosiae. RNAcentral's name for it is "eukaryotic LSU rRNA". It matches the Rfam family "Eukaryotic large subunit ribosomal RNA", at positions 79 to 812 of the family's 3401-position model. Lineage: Eukaryota; Fungi; Ascomycota; Sordariomycetes; Ophiostomatales; Ophiostomataceae. The record is from RNAcentral.
CUCAGUAGCGGCGAGCGAAGCGGCAACAGCUCAAAUUUGAAAUCUGGCCCGCCGUUCCUUCGGGGGCGGAGGGGUCCGAGUUGUACUUUGCAGAGGAUGCUUCGGGCGCGGCGCCUUUCCGAGUGCCCUGGAACGGGCCGCCACAGAGGGUGAGAGCCCCGUACUGGAGGCCGCCAAGCCGUAGUGAAGCUCCCUCGACGAGUCGAGUAGUUUGGGAAUGCUGCUCUAAGCGGGAGGUAAAUUCCUUCUAAAGCUAAAUACGGGCCAGAGACCGAUAGCGCACAAGUAGAGUGAUCGAAAGGUGAAAAGCACUCUGGAAAGAGAGUCAAACAGCACGUGAAAUUGUUGAAAGGGAAGCGCUCGUGGCCAGACGUGCGCCCCGCGGCCCACUUGGCGGGCCUCUCUGCUCUUCGGAGCGGGGGGGUCUUCCGGGGCGUGCCGCGCGGGUUUUUGCAGGCCAGCAUCGGUUUCCGAAACCAGGGGGACAAAGGCCGCGGGGACGUGGCUCCCCCCUCCGUGGGGGAGUGUUAUAGCCCGCGGCGCCAUGCCCCUGGGGGGACCGAGGUCCGCGCCGUCUUUUGGCGGCAAGGAUGCUGGCGUAGUGGCCACCGGCGACCCGUCUUGAAACACGGACCAAGGAGUCAAGCACUGGGGCGAGUGUCCGGGUGUGCAAAGCCCGCACGCGCAAUGAAAGUGAACGCAUGUGGGAUCUUCGGCGCACCACCGAGCGAUCCCGACGUACUCGGACGGAUUUGAGUAAGAGCCCCGCCGCUUG